UUAAAAUUUGAGAAAAAAUAAGGACAUAAAUUUACUGAUAGACUUAUCAAUAAAUAUGAAACUAAAUCGAUUGGAGAUUAAAUUUUAGUUUGAUUGAUUCUUAUGACACCCUCAUCAUCACGUACCGUUGGGUACAAUUGUGGUUAAAAAGCAAUUUUACGACAGCAUCACAAUGUGUGUAUAUGUUUGUGGUUUUGCUUUGUUUGGCUGUGUCAUAAUAUAAGUUGUGGUUACAGUGCACCCAGACAUUAAUAAUCCCACUCAAGACGUCGUCUGCACGUACUCCAAUGUGUAGUUAUAUAUAGGAAUGAGUUAAGGAUUAAUUAUUAUCUUCUGAGUUUUCACCCAUAAAGCCACAAAGUAAUAACAAGCUUGGUUAACUUGAAUUGAUCAGAUUAACACACCUAUAUCGAACACGGAUAUAUUAUAUAUUGUU
RNAcentral lists this long non-coding RNA (436 nucleotides) under Mytilus galloprovincialis (Mediterranean mussel). The record is from RNAcentral. Lineage: Eukaryota; Metazoa; Mollusca; Bivalvia; Mytilida; Mytilidae.